CGGAGUGUAGCGCAGUCUGGUAGCGCACUUGGUUUGGGACCAAGGUGUCGGGGGUUCGAAUCCCUCCACUCCGACCA
This 77-nucleotide transfer RNA is filed under the name Chitinispirillaceae bacterium. Its description in RNAcentral is "tRNA-Pro". It matches the Rfam family "tRNA". Rfam says of the family: Transfer RNA (tRNA) molecules are approximately 80 nucleotides in length. Their secondary structure includes four short double-helical elements and three loops (D, anti-codon, and T loops). The record is from RNAcentral. Lineage: Bacteria; Pseudomonadati; Fibrobacterota; Chitinispirillia; Chitinispirillales; Chitinispirillaceae.